RNAcentral lists this ribosomal RNA (465 nucleotides) under Vreelandella stevensii. RNAcentral's name for it is "partial 16S ribosomal RNA". It matches the Rfam family "Bacterial small subunit ribosomal RNA", at positions 338 to 795 of the family's 1533-position model. Lineage: Bacteria; Pseudomonadati; Pseudomonadota; Gammaproteobacteria; Oceanospirillales; Halomonadaceae. The record is from RNAcentral.
CCUACGGGAGGCUGCAGUGGGGAAUAUUGGACAAUGGGGGCAACCCUGAUCCAGCCAUGCCGCGUGUGUGAAGAAGGCCCUCGGGUUGUAAAGCACUUUCAGUGAGGAAGAACGCCUGGUGGUUAAUACCCAUCAGGAAAGACAUCACUCACAGAAGAAGCACCGGCUAACUCCGUGCCAGCAGCCGCGGUAAUACGGAGGGUGCGAGCGUUAAUCGGAAUUACUGGGCGUAAAGCGCGCGUAGGUGGCUUGAUAAGCCGGUUGUGAAAGCCCCGGGCUCAACCUGGGAACGGCAUCCGGAACUGUCAAGCUAGAGUGCAGGAGAGGAAGGUAGAAUUCCCGGUGUAGCGGUGAAAUGCGUAGAGAUCGGGAGGAAUACCAGUGGCGAAGGCGGCCUUCUGGACUGACACUGACACUGAGGUGCGAAAGCGUGGGUAGCAAACAGGAGUAGAUACCCUUGUAGUC